Long non-coding RNA from Peromyscus californicus insignis, 6814 nucleotides. RefSeq lists it as uncharacterized. The transcript is spliced from 6 exons. NCBI's taxonomy places the organism in Eukaryota, Metazoa, Chordata, Mammalia, Rodentia, Cricetidae. The record is from RefSeq and is a predicted model, not a curated record.
GGAAAUGCUUGCAAGGUGCCACCCACUGGAUAGAACCAAGUUCUUCAGAGUGUGAGCUGCUGGGACCUGGCUGAGGGAAGGCUGACCAGCUAGAAGAGCAAGUCAUUUGAGAUGUUUGUUUACUUGCAUGAUUUUAUGUGCCCUACCUGUGUGCAAAGUCUGUGGAGGCCAGAAGAGGGUGCUGGAUCCUCUGGAACUGAAGUUAUAGAUGUUUGUGGGCUAUGGUGUGGAUUCUGGGAAUCGAACCCUGGUCCUCUGCAAGAGCAGCAAGUGCUCUUAACUAAUCAUUUCUCCAGCCCCUUGACUCUCAGGAGAGGUGAUUGACUUGAGCACUAAGAUUAGAGAUGGGACAUCUUCUCUGCAGUCAUUGGACAGCCUCAGAAGCUUGAUGUAGCCUCUGGUUUUGAUGAAGAGACCCUGCUUCAAUGCAUAAGGUGGAAAAGGGAUGGAAGACGAUUCCCAUCGUCAACCUCAGGCUUCCACACAUAUACUCAGAAAAGCCCACGCAGUUGUGCAUCAUAAAUAAACAAGAAAAGAAGGAAGUGAUAUUAUUUAAGAAAUUAUUGGACAAAAUGUGACCAACUGCCUCAUGCUCCUGUUGUCUGCCACUCCUUCCUGAUCAUGAUGGACCAUGCCUUCAGACUCAGAGCCAAAAGAAACCCUUCCUCCCUUAAGUGUCUUUGCCAGGUAUUUUGUGACAUCAGUGAGAACAGUAACUGAUAUAUUAUGUGAAAUUAAAAAGUUAAAAAUAUAUACUGGAUGACUGCUAUAGUUUGGAUCCUGAACGUCUCCUAAAGGCCUAUCUGUUAAAGCUUUGGUCACCAGCCUGUGCUCUUACUGGGAAGGGGUGGAAGCUUCAAGAGAUGGGGGCCUAGUGGGAGGAAGUGAGAUCAAAGGAAGUCUGCGUUGAAGGGCAUAUUAGGACUGCACCCACCCACCCACUGCCUUGAAGACCACAAGCUUCUUCUACAUUGUGCUCCUGCUGGGAUGUUCUGUGUGAGCCUGUAGUGACAGCCUCAAGGCAAGGGGGGCAUGUGACCAUGGAGUGACUGAUGCCUCUGAUGCCAUGAGCCAACACUAACCUUUUCUCUUAUUAAGUUGGUUAUCACCAAUGUUUUGCCAUGGUAAUGGAAAACUGGCUAAGGCAAGGGCUCUAAAUAUGGAAAUGAUCCCACGCAUAGAAAAACUGCUUUGGAAUGAAAUUUCUAAGGAUUGGUGAUGGAGGCACUUGGACUCACAGAAGGUUUGAUUUGCUUUUGUUUCGCUGCAUACUAUAGUUGUUGGUAAGUUGCCAAUUCUUUUGAAUAUAUCUUUUGAAAAAUCUGUGAUUUUUAUGGCAUAAAACAGGUACAUUAAGAGAGACCAGGAAGAAAUUUGAAGUUUUGCAGAUGUUGUUAAAGAAUGAGCUAUUUUUUUUUUCCUUAGAAAAAAUAGCUUAUGUUCAUACCUCGAUAAUGAACAGCCUCCAAGAAUCUUUUCGGCAUUCUUAUGGGCUCAUUUGCUUAAUGAGAACACCAGUAAUUUGAUUUUUUAUAUUGCUGUGUAAAUGUUUUGUACAUAACGGCUUUUGUUUUUUCACCUGCUCUAUCUCUGUUUUUCAGUCACUGACAUUUAUUGAAUCUGUGUUGUUUUCUCGAAGCAAAGGAACGACUAGGAGGGAAGACAAGGAGUGUUUUGUUUAGGGAGAGACAGAAAGGAGAAGAAGGAAGAUGCAGACAAAGGGAGAGGAAGAGGAGAGAGAAGGGGAAAAGACAAACCCUGGCAGAGAGCCCAGCUCUCGGAAAACUGGCCUCACCCCAGGACUGGUGAGCAGCACGCUCCACUGAUGAAGGUGCAGGAGAGCUGAAGAAUUAACUCUGCUCCCCCAGCAGGACUGCGGCACUCAUCUUAAUCCCAAUCCACUGGAUCCUGGGGGCUGUGUGGAACUGUGGUCCAAAGUGUCUGUCUGUCUGUCCCCUCCCCGCCCCACCUCUCCCUGCCCUCUCUGUCUAUCUCUGUUUCUAUUUCUUCAAGGUUUAUUUAUGUGUAUGAGUGUUUUCCUGCACAUAUGUAUAUGCACCAUACGUGUGAUGUGUCCAGUGAGGCUAGAAGAAGGCACUGGAUGAGGUGCCCUGUGCUGGGAACAGAACCCAUGUCCUCUGCAGGGGCAGUAAGUGCACUUAACUGCUGCUGAACCAUGUAGCCAGCCCUAAAGUUUCUUCUUAAUGAUAGCGUUCUUCUGGGUUAGAAGUAUGGCCACUUCUUAAUGGUGACUUUCUUCUAAGUUAGAGCCAAGGCCACGACCGUUAGUGACUCACAAAGAUGGAAGGAGAGGAAGAAAAGGCAAGUUCAACCUCAUUUGAGAUCUAAAUUCAGAGCUCCUUGGCACUCAGGGUGGAGAGAACUCUGAUUGAGACAGGAAGCCUUUUAGUAGCAAUCUGGGCUCACAGCAACAGGCCCCCAGUCUUCUCCUUGGCGUAGUAGGCUGCACCGUUCCAUUAGAAAGCAGCUCCAGAUACCUCUGUACUAUCUGGAUUCUGUUACUGUCUACACUGCACACUGCUCUAGUCGCUCGGCUUAGCUAUCUUGGUUCUCUACCUCCUCAAUGAUUCUCAGGGUGGGUUGGUCAGAGUUCUCUAGAGGGUCAGAACCCACAGGAUGGAUACAUUAUGAAUAGAAUUUAUUAAGUCAGCUUAUGUUGAAACAGUAACAACAGCUAUCUCACACCUGAGAGGCUGAGAGCCAAGGGUUGCUCAGUGUUUGAAGUGGGUCCCUCAGCAGUCAGUAGCCCCAUGUUGCCUGUCUCAUCAUGGGAAGUCUGACAACCUGGAAGUUGCUCAGUCCAUAAGGUUGAGGGCUUCAGUAGUCCCAACCAGGCACCGAGGACCUAAGAGUUUCCUGGAGAUCCACUGAUCCUUAGUCAGUGAUUAAAGCCUGGAAACGCCGGUUCUGAUACCAGCAAAGGAAUCAUCAUCAUCAUCAUCAUCAUCAUCAUCAUCAUUAGCUGCAGCAGCAGCAGCAGCAGCAGCAACAGCAGGGUAAACUAACUCAGAGGCAAGAAGAGGCCAAGGAAUCAAAAUCUGCCACAUUUCUUCUGGGCUGCUGCCAGAGGGUGCCACCCACAUUUGGGAAUCGGUUUCCCCACGUCUGUGAAGGCAACCAGGGACAAUUCUGUAGGUGAGGCUCCCUACUCAGGUGACUAAUUUGAGUCAUUAAAGCCAGCCAUCACACCAGGCCACUGAAAACCCAAGAACAUUCUAGUUUUGCUGACACUCCAGUUGGAUCUCGGCCUUCUGAUUUUCCGAUCCUCGUCACUCCACACGGGAAGAGGAAAGCAUUUGGGGAACAAAUGUAAAGGGUGACUCCAGGGAGGAUUAGGCCCUGAGGUUUUGUAGUCAUCUCCUGGUACCUCUUUAAAGAGCUGGGGGCCUCCGCUAUGCUAAUUAGCCUCAUUUCACACCGUUCAAAGAAUAGGUAAUGAUCGAGAACACGUUCCUGCCUUGAAGUACAGGUGAGACCUUCUGAGUAGAAAAAGGUCCCCAUGAACUCUGCCUCAGUGUUCUUUUAACAGCUGCAUGUCUCUUGGUUCAAUUUAACUUGCUAAAUCAGUCUGAGGCUGUGAAGAGAAUGGAGCAGCAGUUUGGGACCAUGGAUUUGUGAAGCGGGACCCAGGAGAAACUGACUUGAGCUGGUGAUAGCGGCAGUGACAGGAUUGCUCCAGGAAGACAAGGGCACUGUCUCUGCCUUUGCAGUGUGUCUAGCACUUUAGACCACCAUGCGUCACCUGUGAUUGACUCCCAGCUCCUCAGCAUCCCAGGUGGGGAGAGAAAAUAAUUAGGGAAACCAUCUUAAAUGAUGACUCCAGAUGUUUGGCCCACAAGGUAUCUCUUUGGAUAUCCCAGUUCAGUUACUACACUGACUAAUUAUAGUCACACUCAGGGCUGCUUCUGUUUGAAAUUCUAGUUCCAUCUGUAUCUCUGGGACUAUUUAGAAGAGUAUUUAAGUAGGGUUUCCUUUUAUUUAAUGGAUUUCAGAAUCAGACAAAUCCUCUUAUGAAAACAUAUUAAUUAAUCAAGAGGUCACUUCUCCAGAGUAAAAUAAAUUAUUAAAUCAUACAAGGUGAGUAUUUAAGUUUGUGCUCCCAAUCCCUUCCCAUGCUACUAAUGUGCAUAUUAAACUUUUAAAGAUGAAUGUCUAAGUUAUAUUUUAUGAUAGAGCAGAGAGGAGGCUGCCCUGACUAUUCCGUGGCCUCCUACAUGAACUCAUACAGCGGUGGAGUAGCAAAGGAGGACACUCAGGUGCUGGAGUUGAACAAAUAAAUGUAUUUGUCUAAAAUCCAAGGCAGUGAGGAGAAAGGAAAGAGGAGGAUCCCAGCAUUUCCAGAGUUACAAGAACGUCUUCAACUCAUUGAUCGGAUGAAAUACUGCCACAAGAACUAGUAGUUGACUCUGGGUGGUUUCCAGGUUCCUGAAAGGAAGUCUCUCAAGAGGAAAGGGCACUGCUGUUUCUACAUCACAGGGGCAUGCCAAGAGUGUCUGUGGUGACUUCAGUUACUUGUGUGUGUUUGUUCAUGUGAGUGUAAGUGUCCACGCAAGUGUCUGUGCAGGUGUAGGUGUGUGUGCUUGGAGGCGAGAGGACAACUUGGCUGUCAUUCCUCAGGUGCUACCCACCUUGAUGGUUGAGACAGGGUCUCUCACUUGUCUGGAGUUGGUCACGGAGCCUACCAUGAUUGGCUCGUAAGCCCUAGGGAUCUGCCUGACUCCUCUACCUCCCCAGUGCUGGGACUGCAAGCGCACAACACUGUAUCUGGGGUUUUCUUUAUUUUGGAGAGGUAUACCAUAGCUCCCAUAAUUCAAUUCUGGCUGAAAUAUAUACAUACAUAUGUAUGUACAUAUAUAUGCAUAUAUGAGAUAUAUAGGGAGAAAUACGUAUUUCAACAAUUAUAUACAUACAUACAUACAUAUAUAUAUACACAUACACAUACACAUCUCAUGUUUAAUGGUUAUUCUUGGUUUUCAACUUGACUACAUCUGGAAUUAACAAAAAUCUCCAUGGCUGGAUACAACUAUGUGGGGGGAUUUUUCUUAAUUAAAUCAUUUAAAGUGUAAAGGCCCACCCUAAAUCUGGGUCUUUUGAGGUGGAAGAUCCACCUUAAGUUUGGAACACACCUUCUGUUAACAGCCUAUCUAAAGGUCAUGGAAGAAGGAAGUUUUAGCUCUUGCUGGCAAGUUCAUUCCUUUACUGGCAUUAGAGAGUACUUCUUCACAAUUCUGGUGUAUACUGAGGACCAGCUGAGACAUCCAGCCUUGUGGACUGAACGACUACUGGAUUCUUGGACUUUGGUAAACUAGCUGGACCACAGCCUGUUUGCACAUAAAGGAUAUAUGUAGUAUGUAUGUAUAUGUGUAUAUUAAUUCUAUCAGUUCUGGCCACGAUGCACCUUGCACUACCUCUGCACUCUGUUGACAAGAAGCUCAUCACCAGAAGUGGCCCCCAACUUGGAACUCCAGAAUGGGGAGCCAGAAUAAACUCCCGUUCUGUGUGUAUCACACCAUUACUGACAACAGAGAAGGACUGACCCCCAUAAGGUAAAAGAAGAGAAGGACUGAGGGAAGGAAGAGGAAGAAGUGUAACCCAGGGUGGGUAGGGCGUGGUUUCACAUGAUCCCAUCCAUCCUUGAUAAAAUGCUAAGGUAAAACUUGGGAAAGAUUAAAAUUUGAAGGAAGCCAAGGGAGCAGAGGACACGGUUUCUCAGAACUUUAAAAUAAUUCCAGUGGAAAAGCGUAGGCAAAUCUUAGGGGUACUGGGUAAGCAGAUCUCUGCUGGGAAAGGGGCUCAGAUCUGGGGUGCAUCUCUGGGCAAGACUCCAUAUGGAACCCUCAGAUUCACACCUCUGACUCAGCCCCUGAUUUCAGGACCUCAGAGGCCUCCUGCAAAGGACAGCUUGGGAAGCUGGGGAGGCAUUAAAUAGAAAACAGAGGGAUUGUGGAUGUGGUUCAGUCAGUAAAGGGCUUGCUUAAUGGACAAGCUUAAUGACCCGAGUUAGGAUGCCCACAUACAAAAGUAGGCACAGUGGCGUAACUAAAAUCUCAGCCCAGUGGGCAUCGAUCUCUGGAGCUCACUGGCAAGCCAGUGUUGCUGAAUUGAUGAGCUCCAGGUUCAAGGAGAGAUACUGUCUCAAAAAACUAAGGUAGACAACAACUGAAGAAGAUGUACCUAGAGUCUACAGGUACACAUGUGCACACAGAAGCACACACACACACACACACACACACACACACACACACACACACACACACAUACACACACACACAAAUGAAAUAGACAACAAAGAAAUAGCCAUGUUGUGUAAGGAACAUGUGUGUGUGUGUGCACGCGCCUGUGUAAGGAAGUGAGUUUUGUGGUGGUCAUAAGUUGCUGUGUGUAAUUUUCUUUGAAUUUGUGGAAAUGAGAACCUAACAUAUAGGAGCAUUUUAUUUAUGAGAUUUGUAAUUUUAAUUGCCGUGUUCAGGAGGAUUAACAAAUGUAUUUUGUAUUUGACAUUUAGAUGCAUACUUGCUGAAUUUGUAAGUUUAAUUCUUAGGCAGUUGGAGUGCUUUAAGAGAAUGCUAACUUGGGGGAGUUUUGAGGUAUUUGGCUUAUAUGAUCUAUGCUAAGUCCUGAGAAGAAUUUUGUCCCUAACACUUAUAAAUCCUCCUGCUAGGGAUUUGAUGGUUUUAAGAAAAACCAGAUGUAUUAAAUGUGUGAUUAUCGCUUGGAAUGUUUAGGAAGAACUUAAUUAGUCAAGCUUAUAAGUGGUGCUUAGAUUUUAAAGAUUGCAUUUUGAUUUGCUAUA